RNAcentral lists this small RNA (77 nucleotides) under Flavobacterium sp. 123. RNAcentral's name for it is "Flavo-1 RNA". It matches the Rfam family "Flavo-1 RNA". Lineage: Bacteria; Pseudomonadati; Bacteroidota; Flavobacteriia; Flavobacteriales; Flavobacteriaceae. The record is from Rfam by way of RNAcentral.
CCCUAGCCCUGAUUGUAGCGGCAUCCUUUUAUAGGCUUUUUAGACUAUAAAAGAUACAGCGAAAAGCGGGAAAUAGC